CAAGUGAGAGCCAUUCUAAGAAACUUGAACAGUCAGAUUCAUAGUAAACACCUAGAAUUGAAAGUACAAAAAGUGUCAGCAGAAAAAGCAGGUCAUAGGUUCUCACAUUUAUUUUCCUCCUGAAUGACCCAUCGACACAAUGUGAAGAAAGAGUGUGGCUCCCAGUCAUGAGAUUUGCCACUGAUAAUAGAGGGGAGCAAUAACUUCUGAUUAGUUUGGAGAUCUUCCACCAAUAUGCCCAGUGGAUUCUCCCACCAGGGCCAGGUAACCUUCCUCACCAGAGGUGAGCAUCUUGGGAAAAAGUACAUCCUGUCUUUGCCCCCAGAGGUGACUUCAAAGAGGCAGGUAUGGUCAAGAGAGACACUGGAAGAUGGAAGUUACUUCAGUGUUCCAGUUGCUGGUGUAGCCAGGGCUUCACAGCGUGGAAGUAUGGCAUCAUGAUGUCUACUGCACAUCUAUUCCCAACCCCAUAUUCAGUUGUUUCAUGUAGUCUCUUGAAAUCUAUGGAAACUAGAAAACACUACAAAUAAAGCCUUGAUUUAUUGUUUUGUUGAUUGUCUUGACUUAAGAAACUGAUAGACAAUGUGUUAUUAAUGCAGAUUAAACUUAAAAAUGUUUACCUCAGUGGCCGUUAUACUGUGAAUACCACAAAAACUGAGCAAAUAUUUUUCUAGUAUUUGAAAAGUAUUAUCCAAUUCAGCAAAUAAUGUCACUUUUAAGUGAAUAAAGUAUGGGCAUGCCUUCAUUGCUUUAGUUUCUUGUUACUUGUAAACAC
This 775-nucleotide long non-coding RNA is filed under the name Homo sapiens (human). RNAcentral describes it as "HSALNT0250299". The record is from RNAcentral. Lineage: Eukaryota; Metazoa; Chordata; Mammalia; Primates; Hominidae.